CCUACGGGAGGCAGCAGUGGGGAAUAUUGGGCAAUGGGCGCAAGCCUGACCCAGCAACGCCGCGUGAAGGAAGAAGGCUUUCGGGUUGUAAACUUCUUUUGUCAGGGAAGAGUAGAAGACGGUACCUGACGCCUCAGCCACGGCUAACUACGUGCCAGCAGCCGCGGUAAUACGUAGGUGGCAAGCGUUGUCCGGCUUUACUGGGUGUAAAGGGCGUGUAGCCGGGUUGACAAGUCAGAUGUGAAAUCCUGCGGCUUAACCGCAGAACUGCAUUUGAAACUGUUGAUCUUGAGUACGGGAGAGGCAGACGGAAUUCCUAGUGUAGCGGUGAAAUGCGUAGAGAUCGGGAGGAACACCAGUGGCGAAGGCGGCCUGCUGGGCUGUAACUGACGCUGAAGCACGAAAGCGUGGGUAGCAAACAGGAUUAGAUACCCCAGUAGUC
This 442-nucleotide ribosomal RNA is filed under the name uncultured bacterium. RNAcentral describes it as "partial 16S ribosomal RNA". It matches the Rfam family "Bacterial small subunit ribosomal RNA", at positions 338 to 795 of the family's 1533-position model. The record is from RNAcentral.